GACGAACGCUGGCGGCGUGCCUAACACAUGCAAGUCGAACGAGAAUCUACUGAAAGAGUUUUCGGACAAUGGAUGUAGAGGAAAGUGGCGGACGGGUGAGUAACGCGUGAGGAACCUGCCUUGAAGAGGGGGACAACAGUUGGAAACGACUGCUAAUACCGCAUGAAGCAUAGGGGUCGCAUGAUCUUUAUGCAAAAGAUUUAUCGCUUCAAGAUGGCCUCGCGUCUGAUUCGCCGGUUGGCGGGGUAACGGCCCACCAAGGCGACGAUCAGUAGCCGGACUGAGAGGUUGAACGGCCACAUUGGGAUUGAGAUACGGCCCAGACUCCUACGGGAGGCAGCAGUGGGGAAUAUUGGGCAAUGGGCGCAAGCCUGACCCAGCAACGCCGCGUGAAGGAAGAAGGCUUUCGGGUUGUAAACUUCUUUUAAGAGGGAAGAGCAGAAGACGGUACCUCUAGAAUAAGCCACGGCUAACUACGUGCCAGCCGCCGCUGUAA
Molecule: ribosomal RNA, 496 nt
Filed under: uncultured bacterium
Lineage: Bacteria
Description: partial 16S ribosomal RNA
Rfam family: Bacterial small subunit ribosomal RNA
Source: RNAcentral